This 253-nucleotide ribosomal RNA is filed under the name uncultured bacterium. Its description in RNAcentral is "partial 16S ribosomal RNA". It matches the Rfam family "Bacterial small subunit ribosomal RNA", at positions 524 to 776 of the family's 1533-position model. The record is from RNAcentral.
UACAGAGGUCCCGAGCGUUGUUCGGAUUCACUGGGCGUAAAGGGUGCGUAGGUGGCGCCGUAAGUCGGAUGUGAAAUUUCGGAGCUUAACUCCGAAACUGCAUUCGAUACUGCGGUGCUUGAGGACUGGAGAGGAGACUGGAAUUCAUGGUGUAGCAGUGAAAUGCGUAGAGAUCAUGAGGAAGACCAGUGGCGAAGGCGGGUCUCUGGACAGUUCCUGACACUGAGGCACGAAGGCCAGGGGAGCAAACGGG